AAUCGGAGGGAGGUUUGAUAGUGAGACGCGAGCGGAGCCAGAGGCAAAGAGGAGGCGAGGGCGAAGGCGCAGCAUCUCCUCGUCGGUCUCCAUCCCCAAGCCGCCAAGUUCCCGGCCGCCUCAGAAGUUGCAGCAAAGACGUCCGCUCUGAGUGGGUGUCACUUUCUUCAGCUAAGUGGCACCCGUGUCGGAGAUUAUGUGACUCUGGAAGCAGUAUUGCUGCAGUGGUACCGGUCCUCACCCAG
This is a long non-coding RNA of Syngnathoides biaculeatus (alligator pipefish), 245 nucleotides long. RefSeq lists it as uncharacterized. The record is from RefSeq and is a predicted model, not a curated record. Lineage: Eukaryota; Metazoa; Chordata; Actinopteri; Syngnathiformes; Syngnathidae. The transcript is spliced from 3 exons.